RNAcentral lists this unclassified non-coding RNA (333 nucleotides) under soil metagenome. Its description in RNAcentral is "partial contains 5.8S ribosomal RNA, internal transcribed spacer 2, and large subunit ribosomal RNA". The stretch from base 1 to 120 matches the Rfam family "5.8S ribosomal RNA", at positions 35 to 154 of the family's 154-position model. The record is from RNAcentral.
GAUGAAGAACGCAGCAAAAUGCGAUAAGUAAUGUGAAUUGCAGAAUUCAGUGAACCAUCGAAUCUUUGAACGCACAUUGCGCCCGCCAGUAUUCUGGCGGGCAUGCCUGUUCGAGCGUCAUUUCAACCCUCAAGCUCAGCUUGGUGUUGGGACUCGCGGUAACCCGCGUUCCCCAAAUCGAUUGGCGGUCACGUCGAGCUUCCAUAGCGUAGUAAUCAUACACCUCGUUACUGGUAAUCGUCGCGGCCACGCCGUAAAACCCCAACUUCUGAAUGUUGACCUCGGAUCAGGUAGGAAUACCCGCUGAACUUAAGCAUAUCAAUAAGCGGAGGA